RNAcentral lists this ribosomal RNA (385 nucleotides) under uncultured bacterium. RNAcentral's name for it is "bacterial SSU rRNA". It matches the Rfam family "Bacterial small subunit ribosomal RNA", at positions 28 to 400 of the family's 1533-position model. The record is from RNAcentral.
GACGAACGCUGGCGGCGUGCCUAACACAUGCAAGUCGAACGGAGAUUCUAGCAAUAGAAUCUUAGUGGCGAACGGGUGAGUAACGCGUAGACAACCUGCCUUCUAGCUGGGGACAACACCGCGAAAGUGGUGCUAAUACCGAAUGUUGUAAUGAUGGUGCAUACUAUUAUUACUAAAGGUGGCCUCUAUUUAUAAGCUAUCACUAGAAGAUGGGUCUGCGUCUGAUUAGCUAGUUGGUGAGGUAAUGGCUCACCAAGGCGACGAUCAGUAGCCGGUCUGAGAGGAUGAACGGCCACACUGGGACUGAGACACGGCCCAGACUCCUACGGGAGGCAGCAGUGGGGAAUCUUCCGCAAUGGACGAAAGUCUGACGGAGCAACGCCGC